UGGGGAAUAUUGCACAAUGGGCGAAAGCCUGAUGCAGCAACGCCGCGUGAGUGAUGAAGGCCUUCGGGUUGUAAAGCUCUGUCUUUUGGGACGAUAAUGACGGUACCAAAGGGGGAAGCCACGGCUAACUACGUGCCAGCAGCCGCGGUAAUACGUAGGUGGCAAGCGUUGUCCGGAUUUACUGGGCGUAAAGGAUGCGUAGGCGGAUUUUUAAGUGAGAUGUGGAAACCCUAAGCUUAACUUGGGGGACUGCAUUUCAUACUGGAAAUCUAGAGUGCGGGAGAGGAGAAUGGAAUUCCUAGUGUAGCGGUGAAAUGCGUAGAGAUUAGGAAGAACACCAGUGGCGAAGGCGAUUCUCUGGACCGUAACUGACGCUGAGGCAUGAAAGCGUGGGUAGCAAACAGGAUUAGAUACCCUGGUAGUCCACGCCGUAAACGAUGAGUACUAGGUGUAGGAGGUAUCGACCCCUUCUGUGCCGCAGUUAACACAAUAAGUACUCCGCCUGGGAAGUACGAUCGCAAGAUUAAAACUCAAAUGAAUUGACGGGGUC
Molecule: ribosomal RNA, 550 nt
Filed under: uncultured bacterium
Lineage: Bacteria
Description: partial 16S ribosomal RNA
Rfam family: Bacterial small subunit ribosomal RNA
Source: RNAcentral